CAAAUUACAAUGAACACUUUAUAGCUUCAGAUUAUAUCUAUGUACGUUAUAUGCAUUAAUAGACACUCACAUGCAAUGCAUGUAGAGGUAAAGUUAGAUUUGUUCAUAAUUAUUUAUUUUCUAACUAAGAAAAACAACAUCUUAUCAUUGGAUCAUAAAAACAGAAAGAAAAGGCAGCACAAACAAAAAAUUGAAAAUAAGAUAGAAGAG
This 210-nucleotide long non-coding RNA is filed under the name Elaeis guineensis (African oil palm). Its description in RNAcentral is "long non-coding RNA (EGUI_LNC036398)". Lineage: Eukaryota; Viridiplantae; Streptophyta; Magnoliopsida; Arecales; Arecaceae. The record is from RNAcentral.